This 426-nucleotide ribosomal RNA is filed under the name uncultured bacterium 1405-48. Its description in RNAcentral is "bacterial SSU rRNA". It matches the Rfam family "Bacterial small subunit ribosomal RNA", at positions 528 to 954 of the family's 1533-position model. Lineage: Bacteria; Pseudomonadati; Pseudomonadota; Gammaproteobacteria. The record is from RNAcentral.
GAGGGUGCAAGCGUUAAUCGGAAUUACUGGGCGUAAAGCGUGCGUAGGCGGCUCGUUAAGUCAGAUGUGAAAGCCCUGGGCUCAACCUGGGAACUGCAUUUGAAACUGGCGAGCUAGAGUUUGAGAGAGGUCAGUGGAAUUUCAGGUGUAGCGGUGAAAUGCGUAGAGAUCUGAAGGAACACCAGUGGCSAAGGCGACUUACUGGCUUAAAACUGACGCUGAGGUACGAAAGCGUGGGUAGCAAACAGGAUUAGAUACCCUGGUAGUCCACGCCGUAAACGAUGUCAACUAGCCGUUGGUCUCUUUGAGAGUUAGUGGCGCAGCUAACGCAUUAAGUUGACCGCCUGGGGAGUACGGCCGCAAGGUUAAAACUCAAAUGAAUUGACGGGGGCCCGCACAAGCGGUGGAGCAUGUGGUUUAAUUCGA